This 445-nucleotide ribosomal RNA is filed under the name uncultured bacterium. Its description in RNAcentral is "bacterial SSU rRNA". It matches the Rfam family "Bacterial small subunit ribosomal RNA", at positions 8 to 437 of the family's 1533-position model. The record is from RNAcentral.
AGAGUUUGAUUAUGGCUCAGGAUGAACGCUGGCGGCGUGCCUAACACAUGCAAGUCGAACGGGUGUACGGGGAGGAAGGCUUCGGCCGGAAAACCUGUGCAUGAGUGGCGGACGGGUGAGUAACGCGUGGGCAACCUGGCCUGUACAGGGGGAUAACACUUAGAAAUAGGUGCUAAUACCGCAUAACGGGGGAAGCCGCAUGGCUUUUCCCUGAAAACUCCGGUGGUACAGGAUGGGCCCGCGUCUGAUUAGCCAGUUGGCAGGGUAACGGCCUACCAAAGCGACGAUCAGUAGCCGGCCUGAGAGGGCGGACGGCCACACUGGGACUGAGACACGGCCCAGACUCCUACGGGAGGCAGCAGUGGGGGAUAUUGCACAAUGGGGGGAACCCUGAUGCANCGACGCCGCGUGGGUGAAGAAGCGCCUCGGCGCGUAAAGCCCUGUC